RNAcentral lists this long non-coding RNA (1331 nucleotides) under Panax ginseng (ginseng). RNAcentral describes it as "long non-coding RNA (PGIN_LNC000147)". Lineage: Eukaryota; Viridiplantae; Streptophyta; Magnoliopsida; Apiales; Araliaceae. The record is from RNAcentral.
CUUGAAUAACAAUAAAAUCCACAAAUUUAGUUUGGAAAUUGGUGACUGCCUUACCCAUCUGUUUGAAUGGACCGUCUAGUAAGCAUGUACACUCCACUGAACACAUUAUGAUGAUUAGGUGUGUUAGGUACAAUCCCAUACAAUUGCAGUUCUUAUGAGUUAUGAUCUAGUAGUAGGCUUUGACCAAGUCUAAAUCUAGUCUAGUCACACUAAGAACCUUGCAGCAAACAAAUUUCUGUCUCACGGAAUAAAAGGCAUGUGAAGGCACCAAGAAUGACUUCUAGAGCGAAGAAAUUGUUCAAUCAAAAGAAAAACAAAGUGUGAACUAGAAAUCCUCAUUUGGUCUGGAAAGGAGCCUUUUUUUUAAAUAGACAAUUAAUAGACAUCAGGGAGUAACAUGAACCUGCUUGUUUGCAAAAAUAAGAACAACACCACCUCUUAACUCUUCCUCCUGACAAUAAAGCAUAAAGAUAUUUAAUUCAAAUUCAGAACACACAUUUCAGGUUAAGUUCAAGUAUAUUUAAAGAUAAAAUCUUCCAGAUUAACUGGUUCUGGUCAAAUACCCAAACAAAUUAACUAUAACUUUAGAUAGUGGUACAACAGAAGUUAACGACACAGAAACCAAUACUCUUUCCUUCUUUUUAUUUUGACAAGUUUAUAUUCAAAAGGGCACCAAGAGGGUGCUACCCAUAUUCAAACGAAGUCGCAAUAAAACAGGGUAAAACCUGCGCCACCGAAGCACAAAACCUACAUCAUGUCCUGUGGCUAAAUCCGACAAGUCAACAAAUGCUUUACUCAAACCAAGCAACACCUUAUUCUGCCAAAAAGAACAACUUUUUGAUAUGCACAAUAAACUGGUCUAUUUUAUCUAAAUAUCUAUAAUCUAGAAAUAUCACUAAAAGAUCUAGAUUAUGCUAUCAAAAUUCUUUAGAAAAAUUACUUACCCUUUGUACAGCGGUUUUGGCACGGAGCAAGUUCUCUGGUUUAACUCAUACAGGGGGAGGUAAGCACAAGCUUUAUGCCAUUGAAAAACCUACACUAAAAUCUCAAGAGCUCAAUAAUAUGAAACAGAUUUAAAGCUUUCGAGUUUGAUCUAAACCAAUAGAUGAAAAACCACUAUACAAAUCAUACCCAAAGCGAGACGAAUUUAAAUCUGACGAAGGGGAUAUUCAAAACCACUAUGCAAAUCUAACCCAUAGCCAGACGGCGAGAGAGCUAGGUUAGGGAUACUGAGGAAGAUGAGUUUGGGGAGAAGAGAAUGUGUUUUAUUUUGCUGGGAGAGUUCUUUUAGGUGGGUAUCGGCAUAAAAGUCUCUCUAGUUUCAUUUAUCA